This is a non-coding RNA of Danio rerio (zebrafish), 2444 nucleotides long. The record is from RefSeq and is a predicted model, not a curated record. Lineage: Eukaryota; Metazoa; Chordata; Actinopteri; Cypriniformes; Danionidae.
ACCAAUAUCAACAAGAAACGACUGGUUCACAGUGACAAAACAGCAGGGGAACAUAUAGAUUACUGUCGUUUUCUGGAUUUUGUUCGUGUGUAGACAGUCUUUGUUUGUUCUAUGAUGAAAGUAAUCUGCAAAUGACUUCGAGCGAAGAGCGCCUGUGCAGACCGCGCGGAAGAGGCGAGCGGCCAAUGCACCGGAGCACCCUGACUCUCGGCGACCGCAACACAUGCUUUUACUCUACAACACAUACAGAGAGUUUUUCUAGAAGAGGACAUGAUGGUCAAGCACUGAUCUUUCCACACCGAAAUCCAUGUUAUCCCUCUCAGCAUAAUGGAAAGCUGGACCUCAAAAACAUCCCUGUGACACAAGGACAGACACACUCCAGAGAUGAAUAUGGCCCAAAGAGAUCAUACCACAUUACGUCCUACAUCAAGCAGGGCUACGGAACAGAAGACAGAACCGCCAGGGCUUUGUGAUGAAAGAAGUCACCAACCCCACUGAGCCCACACCAUACCAGAGCACAUAUCACACAGCACACUGCAGCAGAUACCAAACAAAUGAAGACACCAGUGGACGGCCAGUCUAUUGGCACAGCCAUAACAUUAUCACAGGACAGGAGGAGGCUGCAGCUGGGCCUGGGAGACCCAGAAGACAGUCUGGCGAGAGUGUUUUGUGGGAAGCUCGACGUUGGGAGACACAUCACGACUCGUUACGUUUGUACUAAACUGCUCAACUGCAACAUGAGACCAGUAAACAGUUAAUAAAUGUUCUCUAUUAUGCUGGUUAGCAGUCAAAUAUUACGAACAAACCUUCAAAAUUAGGUCUCUGUGGAGAAAAAAAAAAAACAUUUAAAAUAAGCAUGAGCAAAUAAUUGGUUUGUUACAUUUCUAUAAAUUAUAUAAAAAUUAAAUUUGGGUUAUUUUUAUUUAUUUUAGUAUGAUUUAUACACCGAAUGAGCCACAACAUAUGACCACAUACCUAAUAUGAUGUUGGUCCUCUAUAAGUUUCUAAAACAGUCCCAAACACCGGCAAGACCCCUGAAGAUAGUCCUUUCAUAGUUGGCACCAAGAAACUGACAGCAGAUCCUUCAAGUUCUGCGAGUAUUGAGGUGAACAUUUUUGAGGUUGAUUUGUUGGGUUAAUAAACCCCACACACAGAUUCUCAAUUGGAGUGAGAUCUGGUGAAUUUGGAGGCCAGGGAAACAUCUUGAACUCUUGUGUUCUUCAAAGGGUUCCCACUUUCAUGAAGGGCAGAUUCAAGGACUAACAUUUGAAAUCAAGUACCAUUGUAAUUUACACCCCCAGUAAGUGUAGUGCCAUGUAUGUCCUUACCGUUCUUAACAUUUCACUUACACUUAAUUUAAAUGUGGGUAGGUUUUCCAGAGAUGUUUGUCGUUCAAAAGCAGCAGUUUCCUAAAUGUUGAUCAAAUUUGCGUUACUAGUCGUAGUUCUUGUACAGGAUUUAAAUUGUAAGAUUUAUGAAUUAAGAUUUUUUUUUUUUACAGCAGCACAGUACAAUUGUUGAACUAACACUAUCAACACAUUUAAUUUUAAAUUUAAUUCAAGCACUUUUAAGGACCUGUGUGUUUAAGCACUUUCCAGGCCUUGAGAUCCUAUGUUUGAAAUUCAAAUACUAAAGUGUAGGAAAUGGAAACCCAGUCUUCAACCCUUCCUCUGGGAAACCCCAUUACCAUUAUGAUCUUAAAAAUGUUUAGUGGGUAGCAAGUGUGAUAUUUUCGUCUCCAACACCCUGAACAUCACAAUCCCUCCACUACGUACCAUUAUCCUUCAGUGCAUGUUGGUGUAUUACCUCCGAUAUUUCUUUGGCAUUUUAGAAUGACCAAAACAACAUUUCAGAUAUUUUACAAUGUGUUCAGCUUGCUGGUUUAUCCAUUCACACACAUUUUUUAAUCACCACAUAAUCUUUUUUUUAUUGUGCAUACUGGAAUUUGUUCAGUAAAAGUGUUACCAUCAUAGUUUAUGCGCAUCUUUUCUUAUCACAUAAAAAGUUUAUUCUACUCAAUUUUCAACAUUUAUGCGCAUCUUGCCGUUUGCAUCAACUGUUUUAUCAUGUGCAUGUCCAAAAUGCAUGUGAAAUAGGUGGAUGGACACAUAGCUACUCUCACCUACCCACACUUUAACAUGUGCUAUUGUUAGGAGGUAAUAUAAUAUUCACCUCACCUGUGUCAAUAUUUGAGCUCAUCAUUGUAUAUUGCGUUUCCACUUGCACCACAAUAUUUGUCAGUUACCCAUAUGCCCGACCAUUAUAAACAUACUCGGUAAGUAAACAGCAUCAUGCAUUGCGUGAUAAACUACUAAGCGUUGUUCUGCCUACUUAUGCCAUCUAAACUAUAGAAAAUGUGCAUUUUACUCCACUAAAUCUUGUAGGAGGAAGCAGGAAAAAUUGUACUAGCUUGACAAACUGAAUAAAAAGGCUCUAUUCUGAUU